RNAcentral lists this ribosomal RNA (500 nucleotides) under uncultured bacterium. RNAcentral describes it as "partial 16S ribosomal RNA". It matches the Rfam family "Bacterial small subunit ribosomal RNA", at positions 899 to 1397 of the family's 1533-position model. The record is from RNAcentral.
ACUCAAAGGAAUAGACGGGGGCCCGCACAAGCGGUGGAGCAUGUGGUUCAAUUCGAUGCAACGCGAAGAACCUUACCUGGGUUUGAACUGUAGUGGAAAAUUCCAGAGAUGGAAUCCUCUAGCAAUAGACCGCUGCAGAGGUGCUGCAUGGCUGUCGUCAGCUCGUGUCGUGAGAUGUUGGGUUAAGUCCCGCAACGAGCGCAACCCUUGCUGUUAGUUGCUCAUUCGCAAGAAUAGCACUCUAACUAGGACUGCUGGUGAUAAACCGGAGGAAGGUGGGGAUGACGUCAAGUCAUCAUGGCCUUUAUGCCCAGGGCUACACACGUGCUACAAUGGCCGGUACAGAGGGUCGCUAAGCCGCAAGGUGGAGCCAAUCCCACAAAACCGGCCUCAGUUCGGAUUGCACUCUGCAACUCGAGUGCAUGAAGGUGGAAUCGCUAGUAAUCGCGGAUCAGCACGCCGCGGUGAAUACGUUUCCGGGCCUUGUACACACCGCCCGU